This 474-nucleotide ribosomal RNA is filed under the name Triticum aestivum (bread wheat). Its description in RNAcentral is "partial small subunit ribosomal RNA". The record is from RNAcentral. Lineage: Eukaryota; Viridiplantae; Streptophyta; Magnoliopsida; Poales; Poaceae.
AUCGCUAAUGGUAGGAAGCGUAAAAACAUGAUCCAUUCUUUUUCUGAUGGUGAGGUGAUGAUUGAGGGCACCGAAAACCUUCUGAAUUAUGCUACCUCCUAUUACAAGGACCUCUUUGGGCCCGCCCCUGGAAACCUUUUCCACACUUCCCCUGAAACAAGGAGACAACAUGAGAAACUUAAUGAUGAUGAUAAUGAGUUUCUAACUCGGCCCUAUUCCGAGGAAGAUGUAAAAGUGGCUCUGUUUGGGAUGGAUAGUAAUAGAGCUCCUGGGGAUAAUAUACCCAUGGAGUUUUACAAAAGUUGUAGGGAUUUCGUCAAUACCGAUAUCAUGUGCCUCUUCAAGGCUUUCCACGCGGAUACUCUGGAUGUAGCGCGUCUGAAUUUUGGUUUGAUCACCUUGAUCACGAAGCUGCCAGGAGCAAAGAAAAUUCCAACAAUUCCGUCCUAUCUGCCUUCUUCGCUGCCCAUAUAA